RNAcentral lists this transfer RNA (41 nucleotides) under Turnera confertiflora. RNAcentral describes it as "partial tRNA-Leu". The record is from RNAcentral. Lineage: Eukaryota; Viridiplantae; Streptophyta; Magnoliopsida; Malpighiales; Passifloraceae.
CGAAAUCGGUGAACGCUACGGACUUAAAAUCCGUCGACUUU